Molecule: long non-coding RNA, 2742 nt
Organism: Artibeus jamaicensis (Jamaican fruit-eating bat)
Lineage: Eukaryota; Metazoa; Chordata; Mammalia; Chiroptera; Phyllostomidae
Exons: 3
Source: RefSeq, a predicted model, not a curated record
UCUGGAUCAGACAGCACACUUUUCCCUUCCACCGAAGACCGAAGACUGUUUCCGUAUAGAGGACCAAGCACAAGAAAGCAACCUGGCCCAAGGGCCGGCUCCCCUAAGGGCCACCUCAUGGCUGUGCUGCUUCAUACCUGAACUGUAAUGUGAUUGAGCUGUUCCAGAGCCGUGCUAUAUCACAACUGACAUGUUUGCAUUGAAUAAACUUCCUUCUUCGCUGCAUCCCAAAUUGAAAUUCCCAUUGGCUUUGAAUUGGCACCAACAGCCAUCAGUUGAAGCAGCUUUGAAGAGAUCGUCAUUUUUAGAUUCUAUGAUUUAUUGUGUCACAGGAGAAGGACAAGCAGAAGAAAACAUGGGCUGAUAUAAGUGUUACCAGGGCAAAGCAAAUCCAACCUUCUUAAAGAGUAAGACACUAUUCCAUUCCUUUCCCUCCCCUGUAAUGCCUUGAGAGGUACGAGAGUUUCAUAUGAGCUUUGUGAUACAUUACCAAAUUUCAGCGCGUGUUUGAAAUUCAAAUGCACAUGAGAUUUCGCAAUGUUAUUUUUCAGUUGUUCUCAACUGUCCCAAAUAAAACCUCUCCCCUGGGGCCACAUGUGAGGCUGCGGGUCUCACUGCCAGCGCCAGGAAGGCUGUCCUUCCAGGAAGGGCUGCACAGACCAUGGGAACCGCCAGCCAGCUCACAAGAAUGAAGAGAAUGUCGGGAGAGGAAGUGGUGGCUGUGAGUCAGCAUGAGUCAUCUCGUUCCAAUGAGAAUGAAGACUGAGGUGUGUGCCUCUUUUCUUUCUUUCUUCCUUUUUUUUUUCAUCUCAAUGGUACAGACAUCAUUGGGAAUGGACGGAAAUAAGUGACUGUAUGGUCGUAGCUUUUUUAAGUUCCAAACGCAUUCCAGGCAGGCCGUGCCUGAGCCAGUGUCUGUCUCCAGAGUGUCGCAGCGCUGUUCCUGGGAAGGUGGAGCGUCAGCUUCUCCCCGAUGGGCAAAGUGAGGAGGAGCAGGAGAGAGAGCACUUGGCGGAGGUCUGCCUUCCCCGGCACCCUUUCCUUCCUUUGCAAACGGACCCUUGUAAGGGAACAGGCAGCUCUAGAGACUUUUCGCCGGUCAUUUCAGAGGGACUGAAACGCCUCAGAAUUACUUUAGGGGAAGUAAAAGGCAGCGGAGAAGAGCUGGCAGCCCGAGUUCGUCAAAGUUCCGGGCGCGGUCGCCCACGGUUACCGCGAGGCGCGCACACCUGCGAGCCUGGCUCGGCCCGCACCGCGCACCCCACCUGCGUGCUCGAGCGCCCACCUGGGUGCUGGGGUUUCACAGUAAGGCGCGUGCGAACUGCAAACCGCUCCCCUGGGCUGGACACGGAAGAUACUUUGGGGAAAAGCACCUCCUCCUGGAGGGAGUCCUCUCCCCCAGGGCCCAGCGGGGAGAACCUCCAAAGACCGAAAAACCGCAGGGUUCCCUGCGCAAGGGCCUGACUGAGUUUCAUCAGCUUAGCGCAGGUCCUUCCUGGCAGGGCUCGCCUCUGACUUGGACAGAAACAAGCAGAAAUGUGCUGCGGAGCAGACACCCCCGAGGCUGUAUUUAAUCCUCAAAAAACUGUCCAGAAGAACCCUGGCCCGUUGGCUCAGUCGCUUGGACCGUCCUCCCACACAGCGAAACGUUGAGGGUUGGAGGGAGCCCAUUGAUUUGAUGUUUCUCUUUCAGCUCGUCCACAGGGAUGUUCUCUCUCUCUCCCCCCUCCCCCUCCCUCCCUCCUCCCCAACACCCUUUCUUUCUCUCUAAAGUCAAUAAACAUAUCCUCAGGUGAGCAUUCACAAAAAAUACUCGCUAGUAGAACAAAACUGUCCAGAAGUGUCGAGUGCCUUUUUUCUCUUUCAUUUAGUUGGGCACAAACAAUGUCGCUUUUCAAAACACUUCAAAACCAGCAAACAAGCAAACCUAAAAGCGCUGGGCAGUGCUGAACACACCACACUAACUUGGUAGUCUGAUGCCUCACAGAAAACGCCAGAAAGAUGGUUUCUAAGCAGCUAGACCAACUCCAAGUGCUUGAAAUGAAAAGCUCACGACUGCUGGAAGGACCCGUGUGAUGCUGGAAAGCUGGCUGGACAAUGACCCUGCAGCAAGGAAACUGGGCUGGGAAGAAAUUAAGACAGCGGUUCCUUGAACGGGGUUUGAAAAGACUGAGUCAAGGCAGCCCUGCUCUUUCUAAAAACCCAUUAGCAGUGUGUGUGAGGGUUCCGGUUGCUCCAUGUCCUCAGGCGUGCCUGCUUCGGUCAGUCUGUCAGUCGGUCAGUCAUUCUAUCCGUUAUCGCCAUCAUGCUAAUUGCUGCAUAAUGAUGUCUCCUUGUGAUUUAAUUUGCAUCCCUCUGAUGACUCUGCAUCAUUAGUCACUAAGGAGCAUCUUGUAUACACUUGUUUGUCAUUUCUGUCUUCGGUGAUAUGUGUAUUUAAAUAUUUUGCCAAUUUAAAAUUAUUUUUAAUUUUGCUUUUCAACUACAAUUGAUAUGCAAUGUUAUAUUACUUUCAGGUGUACAGCAGUGAUUAGACUUUUAUACACCUUGCAGGGUGAUCCCCCAGUGAAUCUAGUAAAUCUUAUACCACACACAGUCUUCACAAUAUUAAUUUGUACUCCCGAAUUCCUUUCUUUUGCCCAUUUUUUAAUUGGGUUGUUUGAUUUCUUACUGAAUUUUGGGAGUUCUUCACAUAUUAUGGAUACAAGCCCAUUAUUAAAUAUAUGAUUUGCAGAUGUUUUC